GAGGAAAGACCUCCGGUGUCCCAGAGACUGGUGUGGCCUGCAGCUCCCACAGGCCUCUUAGAAAUGUCCCAGGAAUGCCUGCAUGGUGUUUUUCUGGGGUGCUUGUGUAUGCCUGCAUGUGUCAUCGCCUGGGUGAGGUGCUUGCCAAGAGGUUGUGAGCUGGCUGGCCUGGAGCCUGACCUGUCUUCUCCUUGCUUUCCAGAGACUGAGGCUAUCUGGGAUGCUGUAUCCGAGUACAUUCUGGAAGAGCUGAAGUGGGAUAAGGGCGUUCAGGUUGCGGGACUCGGGACCUUUGCUGUUGUCCAAGAGCAAUUCCUUGGCAAACAAGAGCUGCUCUUGGUUCGAAGACCUUUCUUCCAGCUGGACAUCGAUGAGUUGUGGCUGGAGGAGAUCUACUGUCCCACCGAGAUCCUCCCUGAUGGCGUCAAGAUUGAGCCGCUGAACUACGUGCAGCUAUCGCAAGCCACCUCCUUCCCACUGCACGUGGUGAAGAACUGUGUGCAAGAGACCAUCCUCUUGUACUGCUUCCUCCUGAGGAGCAAGGAGCACGUCCCCUUUGGCUUCAGGGACAUUGGUGUUUUGACGUGCGAAGAUGGUUUCCUCUGCAUGAAGUUUUAUCUGGACUGUGUCAAACGUCUGGAGAGCACUGCGGGCCUGGUUGCACUGCUCCACAGUGUUUCAUCUGACUGUGAGGAGAAGGCCAGAGGCCAAAGUUUCCACCACCUCGCAGGAGGAAGCUGCAGGAGAGCGCAGGACCAGAAGAGUUUCAGAGUGCCAUCCUGACAACCUGCUGCAGAGGAGGAAGAAGCUUUCCCUCCCCAUACUGACAAGCUGGGAGCCGGGCACAAGGCAGCAAGAUCUGGAGAAGAAGCCUUCUACCAGUGUGUUCCCCCCGUGUCCAGGCAGCUCCCCCGGGACGAAGAAGGCAGACAGGCAGGAAACAGCUCCUCGAGCCAUGUCCACCACCACUGCGCUCCCUGCUCCUGAAGCCUCCAGGAGAGCGCUGCAGGUACCUGCUCUGCCUUGCGGCAAUGACCGUGCUGUUUGGGCCUGUACAAAAGCCUCUUUGUGUGGAGCGAUCCCGAGCAGGUCCCUUGGGAUGCGUUCAUUUUCACAUUUGUUACCUCCUUCAUCUCUUCCUCAGGAGAUGGAAGGUGACGUCCCGCACACCUUCCCUGCCUCUUACUGCCUCCCAUGUUGCCAUGAUCCACUUCAUUUUGACCAGGGGCCAUGGAAAAGGAACAAGGCCUUUCUGGGUCAUUGAUGGCAGAGGGCUUUGGUCACCGCGGGCUGUUCAGCUGUGUUUGUCACGAGUUGAGGAGCCUGGCCUAGCUUCAGGGCCCCUCAUCCUUGAGGGUCAAAGCACUGCUGACAGACCGGCUGAGGCGAGGGGGCAGGAGUGCGGGUUAGGCCUGAGGGACAGCUGAGACCAAUCCUGUCUGCUGUUGUGUUUGUUUUUUUUUUUUUUUCCUCCAGGAGGUCUGGAACCUGUCUUGGCAGUGGGACCAGACAGACAGCUCAUGGCCCACGUACCAAAAGCAACAAGAGCAAGCCCGGGCAGAAAUGGCUGCAUGGGAAGCCUGGUCUGAGGGGGAGGACCAACAGAUACCCCAGGUACUGGCAGUGAUCAACACCGCUGAGAACAGCAGCGAUCCUCUCCGCCAGGGCUCCGAGGGCAGCAGCGAUUCAACAGUCAACAUGCUUGGACUCCCCGUCCUCCAGCCCAGCCCAGGAGCAAGGAGGUCAGGAAGAGGUGGAGGAAGGCUGAGAACCCUGCUCCAGCAGAGGAUUUGGGAGCAGCAGCCAAGCUGGAGAGACUCCAGCCUGAGUAAGUGUGUGCCGGCUCCGUUCCCGUCCUGGGGCACUGGAGUAGCUGUUGAGCGAUGUCAGGACAUGUCCAGGAGCCCGGUCCCUGAGU
Molecule: RNA transcript, 1918 nt
Organism: Cygnus olor (mute swan)
Lineage: Eukaryota; Metazoa; Chordata; Aves; Anseriformes; Anatidae
Gene name: coiled-coil domain-containing protein 81-like
Exons: 7
Source: RefSeq, a predicted model, not a curated record